GUCAUAUUUAUUUGGAACUCAGGGCAUUGCCUUCUGGAAGAGUGUGUGAAAUAAAAUGUGUUGUCUCUCUGCCUGCCUGCCUCUCCUAGGGAGUUUCCCAGGAGGAACAGCCCUGCAAAAAGGACUAUAAAUCUGAUGUUAUGACUCUGGUUUCCAGUGCCAAGAACAGUCCUCAAGGUCCAGAGCUGACACCUGCAGGAGCCUGUGCUGGGGCAACUUCUGAGUUCUUCUUCUUUUUAUUGAAGAUUACAUUUCUUUCCAUGAAGAUAAAUGCAUGGAAGGCACUGCCAGGGGGAGAACAGCACUCAGCUGAGGAGUCAGCUCUGCUCCAUCAACAUCUGUUUCAUCUGCUUGUGGUGCUCUCCUUUCUGUGCUGGACUCCUGAAUAGACCCUGAAAUGCAAACAAUUGCUGAUCAUGCUGCUGCCUCUGAUAACAUAACUCAUGAUGUUGCCCUAAUUACUUACAUUAUACAACUGUCAGGUCUGGAACAUUUGGUCUCUUAAGGCAGCUCUCCAAUUAAUCUCCUCCUUUUUAUUAGAGAUCUUGUUAUGUGAUUCUCUUUUGGGGAGGAAUUAGAAGGUUUUAU
This is a long non-coding RNA of Serinus canaria (Common canary), 588 nucleotides long. RefSeq lists it as uncharacterized. Lineage: Eukaryota; Metazoa; Chordata; Aves; Passeriformes; Fringillidae. The record is from RefSeq and is a predicted model, not a curated record. The transcript has 3 exons.